RNAcentral lists this long non-coding RNA (269 nucleotides) under Amborella trichopoda. Its description in RNAcentral is "long non-coding RNA (ATRI_LNC001517)". The record is from RNAcentral. Lineage: Eukaryota; Viridiplantae; Streptophyta; Magnoliopsida; Amborellales; Amborellaceae.
UAAUGAAAAAACUAAAACAAACAAAAACUAGAUGGACCGAAGAGCAAUUUUGUAAAAAAAAAAAAUUGACCGACCAUCUUUAUAAUUUCCACAUAUAAGUGGAACAUUUCGUAAUUUACCUAAAAUUUCAAAGUUUGUACAUAAAUCACUCAUCUCUUUGUAAUUAAGGCUACAAAAACAUUCGAAAUUUCUCAAAUAUAUGAGAGAGACAGGAUGAGAUUGUCUGAUCAGGUAAUCUCGAUGGUUGGAUCUCUUUGUAAUUAAGGCUG